CUACCAGGGUUUCUAAUCCUGUUUGCUCCCCACGCUUUCGCACCUCAGUGUCAGUAUUAGUCCAGGUGGUCGCCUUCGCCACUGGUGUUCCUUCCUAUAUCUACGCAUUUCACCGCUACACAGGAAAUUCCACCACCCUCUACCAUACUCUAGUCAGUCAGUUUUGAAUGCAGUUCCCAGGUUGAGCCCGGGGAUUUCACAUCCAACUUAACAAACCACCUACGCGCGCUUUACGCCCAGUAAUUCCGAUUAACGCUUGCACCCUCUGUAUUACCGCGGCUGCUGGCAC
RNAcentral lists this ribosomal RNA (289 nucleotides) under uncultured Pseudomonas sp. RNAcentral describes it as "partial 16S ribosomal RNA". The record is from RNAcentral. Lineage: Bacteria; Pseudomonadati; Pseudomonadota; Gammaproteobacteria; Pseudomonadales; Pseudomonadaceae.